This 253-nucleotide ribosomal RNA is filed under the name uncultured bacterium. RNAcentral's name for it is "partial 16S ribosomal RNA". It matches the Rfam family "Bacterial small subunit ribosomal RNA", at positions 524 to 776 of the family's 1533-position model. The record is from RNAcentral.
UACAGAGGUCCCAAGCGUUAUCCGGAUUCACUGGGCUUAAAGGGUGCGUAGGCGGGCAGGUAAGUCAGUGGUGAAAUCUCCGAGCUUAACUCGGAAACUGCCGUUGAUACUAUUUGUCUUGAAUAUUGUGGAGGUAAGCGGAAUAUGUCAUGUAGCGGUGAAAUGCUUAGAUAUGACAUAGAACACCAAUUGCGAAGGCAGCUUACUACACAACGAUUGACGCUGAGGCACGAAAGCGUGGGGAUCAAACAGG